This 666-nucleotide ribosomal RNA is filed under the name Tephrocybe striipilea. RNAcentral's name for it is "eukaryotic LSU rRNA". The stretch from base 268 to 421 matches the Rfam family "5.8S ribosomal RNA". The record is from RNAcentral. Lineage: Eukaryota; Fungi; Basidiomycota; Agaricomycetes; Agaricales; Lyophyllaceae.
GAGAACCUGCGGAAGGAUCAUUAUUGAAUAAACUUGGUUGGGUUGUUGCUGGCUCUUAGGAGCAUGUGCACGCCUAGCGCCAUUUUUACCACCUGUGCACCCUUGUAGACCUGGAUACCUCUCGAGCCAUCUUUUCUUCAAAGUUGGCACGGUUUGAGGACUGCCUCCUGGCUGUCCUUACAUUUCCGGUCUAUGUCUUUUAUACACUCUACAAGUAUGUCAUAGAAUGUCUUAUUUACUGGCCGUUGUGCCUUUAAAAUCAAAUACAACUUUCAACAACGGAUCUCUUGGCUCUCGCAUCGAUGAAGAACGCAGCGAAAUGCGUUAAGUAAUGUGAAUUGCAGAAUUCAGUGAAUCAUCGAAUCUUUGAACGCACCUUGCGCUCCUUGGUAUUCCGAGGAGCAUGCCUGUUUGAGUGUCAUUAAAUUAUCAACCUUUCUGGCUAUGUCAUGUAGCUGGUCAGGCUUGGAUGUGGGGGUUGCGGGCUUCUCAGAAGUCGGCUCUCCUUAAAUGUAUUAGUGGAACCUUUGUUGAUUCUCGCUCUGGUGUGAUAGUUUAUCUACGCCAAAUGCAAAGUCGACGCUUUUUUAAAAAAAGGGGUUUUGCUAUCUAACCGUCCCUUUUAUGUGGACAACUUCUUGACAUUUGACCUCAAAUCAGGUAGGA